AUACGGAGGAUCCGAGCGUUAUCCGGAUUUAUUGGGUUUAAAGGGUGCGCAGGCGGCCAUUUAAGUCAGCGGUUAAAUCGUGGGGCUCAACCCCAUUCUGCCGUUGAUACUGGGUGGCUUGAUUGCGGUCGAGGUUGGCGGAAUUCGUUGUGUAGCGGUGAAAUGCAUAGAUAUGACGAAGAACACCGAUUGCGUAGGCUGCUGACCAGACCGCAAAUGUCCCUCAUGCACGUAAGUGCGGGGAUCGAACAGGAUUAGAUUCCCUGGUAGUCCGCACAGUAAACGAUGAAUACUUGUUUUCGGCGAUAUAAUGUCGGAGGCAAAGCGAAAGCGAUAAGUAUUCCACCUGGGGAGUACGCCGGCAACGGUGAAACUCAAAUGAAUUGACGGGG
This 392-nucleotide ribosomal RNA is filed under the name uncultured bacterium. RNAcentral's name for it is "partial 16S ribosomal RNA". It matches the Rfam family "Bacterial small subunit ribosomal RNA", at positions 523 to 918 of the family's 1533-position model. The record is from RNAcentral.